This 253-nucleotide ribosomal RNA is filed under the name uncultured bacterium. RNAcentral describes it as "partial 16S ribosomal RNA". It matches the Rfam family "Bacterial small subunit ribosomal RNA", at positions 524 to 776 of the family's 1533-position model. The record is from RNAcentral.
UACGGAGGGGGCUAGCGUUGUUCGGAAUUACUGGGCGUAAAGCGCACGUAGGCGGAUCAGUCAGUCAGGGGUGAAAUCCCGGGGCUCAACCCCGGAACUGCCUUUGAAACUGCUGGUCUGGAGGUCGAGAGAGGCGAGUGGAAUUCCGAGUGUAGAGGUGAAAUUCGUAGAUAUUCGGAGGAACACCAGUGGCGAAGGCGGCUCGCCAGAAUGCGCUCGACGGUGAGGGAUGAAAGCUGGGGGAGCAAACCGG